This is a small nuclear RNA of Trichechus manatus latirostris (Florida manatee), 107 nucleotides long. Lineage: Eukaryota; Metazoa; Chordata; Mammalia; Sirenia; Trichechidae. The record is from RefSeq and is a predicted model, not a curated record.
GUGCUCACUUUGGUAGCACAUAUACUAAAAUUGGAAUGAUCCAGAGAAGAUUCGCAAAGCCCCUGUGCAAGGAUGAUACGCAAAUCCGUGAAGCAGUCUAUAUUUUU